Molecule: ribosomal RNA, 382 nt
Filed under: bacterium B3-6-1
Lineage: Bacteria
Description: bacterial SSU rRNA
Rfam family: Bacterial small subunit ribosomal RNA
Source: RNAcentral
GCCAGCCUUCAUUUGGGCAAAUACGGCGACUGCCGAAACAAUCUGAAGGAAGAUGGUGAUCAGUCAUUCAUUCAUGCCAUGAUAUUAGGUGGGUUACACAAGUGUUACAAUGGACAGAACAAGGGGCAGUGAAACCGCGAGGUUAAGCCAAUCCCACAAAUCUGCUCUCAGUUCGGAUCGCAGUAUGCAACUGGACUAAGUGAAAAUGGAAUCGAUAGUAAUCGCGGAUCAGCAUGCCGCGGUGAAUACGUUCCCGGGCCUUGUACACAUCGCCCGUCCCACCACGAGAGUUUGUAACACCCGAAGUCGGUGAGGUAACCUUUUAGGAGCCAGCCGCCGAAGGUGGGACAGAUGAUUGGGGUGAAGUCGUAACAAGGUAACC